Long non-coding RNA from Haliotis rubra (blacklip abalone), 956 nucleotides. RefSeq lists it as uncharacterized. The transcript is spliced from 3 exons. The record is from RefSeq and is a predicted model, not a curated record. Lineage: Eukaryota; Metazoa; Mollusca; Gastropoda; Lepetellida; Haliotidae.
UUUCCCGCUUACAGAUCUGUUAUCAAUUCAUAGUGUUUUCUUGUUAAUUUCUCUGUGAACACAGAUGGAAGUAAAUUUCGAUAGCGUAUGAGGCUCGACACUUACACAGGCCCUUUGGCAGAGGAAGCAUACACACACGCAACACGUGGACAACACAAGUACUACAGUGAUCAUUGUUAUAAUAUGCUAAUUACCAUGUAUGGAAAGGCAGCAUUCCUCCAUCGAUGGGAUAUCAAACUGCAGCAAGUCUUGUUAGUAUUGUCACGUGCGAGACUGAUAGAGGUCAUGCAGGGCAUCUCAGACUGAACUCAUCCAGACAAGCACAUGUUGUGAAAGUCCAAACAUUCAAUAGUCAGCUUUCAUAAAUGUUAAACUAAAACGAUGUACUUUGAUGCGUGGUUAGUUUUAUAUUUUUUUCAAAUAAAGGUACGAAAUAUCCCAAUUAGUAUGAUUGUAAAGGUGUAUGUAUAUAGUUGGUAUACAUGUAUAACACUGAGGGGGCGCAAAGAGCACGUGAAUCGAAGGAAGGAGGACUAGUGGCGCGGAGGUAACAAUCAUGUGUGGUCCAUGUGGCGCGGAGGUAACAAGCACGUGUGGUCCAUGUGGCGCGGAGGUAACAAGCAUGUGUGGUCCAUGUGGCGCGGAGGUAACAAGCAUGUGUGGUCCAUGUGUCGCAGAAUUUAGAAGCAUGUGUGGUCCAUGUGUCCCGGAGGUAACAAGCACGUAUGGUCCAUGUGGCGCGGAGGUAACAAGCAUGUGUGGUCCAUGUGGCGCGGAGGUAACAAGCAUGUGUGGUCCAUGUGGCGCGGAGGUAACAAGCAUGUGUGGUCCAUGUGGCGCGGAGGUAACAAGCAUGUGUAGUCCAUGUGGCGCGGAGGUAACAAGCAAGUGUGGUCCAUGCGGCGCAGAGGUAACAAGCAUGUGUGGUCCAUGUGUUGCGGAGGUAACAAGCAUGU